RNAcentral lists this ribosomal RNA (600 nucleotides) under Nocardiopsis sp. YIM 80131. RNAcentral's name for it is "bacterial SSU rRNA". It matches the Rfam family "Bacterial small subunit ribosomal RNA", at positions 33 to 636 of the family's 1533-position model. Lineage: Bacteria; Bacillati; Actinomycetota; Actinomycetes; Streptosporangiales; Nocardiopsidaceae. The record is from RNAcentral.
ACGCUGGCGGCGUGCUUAACACAUGCAAGUCGAGCGGUAAGGCCCUUCGGGGUACACGAGCGGCGAACGGGUGAGUAACACGUGAGCAACCUGCCCCUGACUCUGGGAUAAGCGGUGGAAACGCCGUCUAAUACCGGAUACGACCUUUCAGCUCAUGCUGGAGGGUGGAAAGUUUUAUCGGUCAGGGAUGGGCUCGCGGCCUAUCAGCUUGUUGGUGGGGUAAAGGCCUACCAAGGCGAUUACGGGUAGCCGGCCUGAGAGGGCGACCGGCCACACUGGGACUGAGACACGGCCCAGACUCCUGCGGGAGGCAGCAGUGGGGAAUAUUGCACAAUGGGCGAAAGCCUGAUGCAGCGACGCCGCGUGGGGGAUGACGGCCUUCGGGUUGUAAACCUCUUUUACCACCAACGCAGGCUCCACGUUCUCGUGGGGUUGACGGUAGGUGGGGAAUAAGGACCGGCUAACUACGUGCCAGCAGCCGCGGUAAUACGUAGGGUCCGAGCGUUGUCCGGAAUUAUUGGGCGUAAAGAGCUCGUAGGCGGCGUGUCACGUCUGCUGUGAAAGACCGGGGCUUAACUCCGGUUCUGCAGUGGAUACGGG